GCUGGGCGUGGUGGUGGGCGCCUGUAAUCCCAGUUACUCAGGAGGCUGAGGCAGGAGAAUUGCUUGAACCCGGGAGGCAGAGGUUGCAGUGAGCCGAGAUCGUGCCACUGCACUCCAGCCUGGGCAACAGAGCAAGACUCUGUCUCAA
This 148-nucleotide small RNA is filed under the name Pongo abelii (Sumatran orangutan). RNAcentral describes it as "Metazoan signal recognition particle RNA (ENSPPYG00000038692.1)". Lineage: Eukaryota; Metazoa; Chordata; Mammalia; Primates; Hominidae. The record is from Rfam by way of RNAcentral.